GGGGAUAAAUUAAAAAUUUUUGGGGGUUUAAUAAAAAAAUUUUUAAUAUAAAAAUAUUAGGGGGUUAAAGUAUUUUUAUAGAAAAAAUUAUAAUAUUUUAUAGUGAAUUAAGUAUUGAGAGAGAAUUUUGAAAUAGGUUGAAAUAAUAAUUAAUUUAAAAGUAAUUUUUAAUUGAUGUAUCUUGGGUAUCAGAGUUUAUUAAAUAAAAUUUUUAGGGGAAAAAUUCUCGAAUUUAAAAGAGAUAAUUAAUUAAAAAAGUUACUAUAGCAAAAUUAUUUUAAAUAAUUAAUUUGAAAUGAAAUGUUAAUCGUUUUUAAAUAUAUCUAGUUUUUUUAGAAAAAAAUUUAAUUUUAAAUUUAUUUGAAAUAAUUAAUUAAUUAAUUAAUUAAUUAUUAUGUAAAAUUUUAUAUUUUAAGGGAUAAGCUUUAAAUUAAAUGUGUAAAAUAAAUGAUAUUGUAAUAAUUAAAUUGAAAAUUUUAUAAUUUAUAUUGUUAAUAAAUUUUAUUUUAUUAUAAAUAAUUUCAUUUAAAUAUAAAAUUUAAUUUAAAAAUUUACUUUUUUAUAAAAAAAAAUUUUUUAAAUAUGAAAAAUUAAAUAUAAUGAUAAAAUUAGUAUAUAAUAAAGAAAAUAAUAUUAAAAAUUUUUUAUUUAAUUAAUUGAAAGGAAUUCGGCAAAAUUAAAAUUAUUCACUUGUUUAUCAAAAACAUGUCUUUUUGAAGUUAAUAUAAAGUCUAAUCUGCCCACUGAUAAUAAAUUAAAGGGCUGCAGUAUUUUGACUGUACAAAGGUAGCAUAAUCAAUAGUCAUUUAAUUGAUGACUUGUAUGAAAGAUUGGAUGAAAUAUGAACUGUCUCUUAGUUAAUUAUAGAAUUUAAUUUUUUAAUUAAAAAGUUAAAAUAAAAUAAAAAGACGAGAAGACCCUAUAGAGUUUAAUAAUUUUUUUUAGUUAAGGUUAUUUAUAAAUUGAAAGUUAAAAUUAUAUAAUAUUAUUUUGUUGGGGUGAUAAAAAAAUAUAAAUAACUUUUUUUUAAUAAUUACAUAAAUACGUGAGUUGAUGAUCCAAUUUUAUUGAUUAUAAGAAAAAAUUACCUUAGGGAUAACAGCGUAAUUUUUUUUUUUAGUUCAUAUAAAAAAAAAAGUUUGCGACCUCGAUGUUGAAUUAAGAUAAAAUUUAAAUGCAGAAGUUUAAAAUUUUGAUCUGUUCGAUCAUUAAAAUCUUACAUGAUUUGAGUUCAAACCGGUGUAAGCCAGGUUGGUUUCUAUCUUUUAUUAUAUAAAAUAUUUUAGUACGAAAGGAUUAAAUAUUUAAAUUAAAUUUAUAAAAUUAAUUUGAAUAUUAUUAAUAAUAAUAAUAAUUAAAAAUAUGAAAUUAUAAUAAAU
RNAcentral lists this ribosomal RNA (1379 nucleotides) under Dudusa sphingiformis. RNAcentral describes it as "16S ribosomal RNA". The record is from RNAcentral. Lineage: Eukaryota; Metazoa; Arthropoda; Insecta; Lepidoptera; Notodontidae.